Molecule: transfer RNA, 72 nt
Filed under: Pleodorina starrii
Lineage: Eukaryota; Viridiplantae; Chlorophyta; Chlorophyceae; Chlamydomonadales; Volvocaceae
Rfam family: tRNA
About the family: Transfer RNA (tRNA) molecules are approximately 80 nucleotides in length. Their secondary structure includes four short double-helical elements and three loops (D, anti-codon, and T loops). Further hydrogen bonds mediate the characteristic L-shaped molecular structure. tRNAs have two regions of fundamental functional importance: the anti-codon, which is responsible for specific mRNA codon recognition, and the 3' end, to which the tRNAs corresponding amino acid is attached (by aminoacyl-tRNA synthetases). tRNAs cope with the degeneracy of the genetic code in two manners: having more than one tRNA (with a specific anti-codon) for a particular amino acid; and 'wobble' base-pairing, i.e. permitting non-standard base-pairing at the 3rd anti-codon position.
Source: Rfam by way of RNAcentral
GGGAGUUUGGUCUAGUGGUAUGAUUCUCGCUUUGGGUGCGAGAGGCCGCGGAUUCAAAUCCCGCAACUCCCC